CCUACGGGAGGCAGCAGUGGGGGAUAUUGCACAAUGGGGGGAACCCUGAUGCAGCGACGCCGCGUGGGUGAAGGAGCGUUUCGGCGCGUAAAGCCCUAUCGGCAGGGAAGAAGAUGACGGUACCUGACCAAGAAGCCCCGGCUAACUACGUGCCAGCAGCCGCGGUAAUACGUAGGGGGCAAGCGUUAUCCGGAUUUACUGGGUGUAAAGGGAGCGUAGACGGCAAGGCAAGCCAGAAGUGAAAGGGCAGGGCUCAACCCUGUACAUGCUUUUGGAACUGUGGUGCUAGAGUGCAGGAGAGGUAAGUGGAAUUCCUAGUGUAGCGGUGAAAUGCGUAGAUAUUAGGAGGAACACCAGUGGCGAAGGCGGCUUACUGGACUGUAACUGACGUUGAGGCUCGAAAGCGUGGGGAGCAAACAGGAUUAGAUACCCGUGUAGUC
RNAcentral lists this ribosomal RNA (440 nucleotides) under uncultured bacterium. Its description in RNAcentral is "partial 16S ribosomal RNA". It matches the Rfam family "Bacterial small subunit ribosomal RNA", at positions 338 to 795 of the family's 1533-position model. The record is from RNAcentral.